RNAcentral lists this ribosomal RNA (497 nucleotides) under uncultured bacterium. RNAcentral describes it as "partial 16S ribosomal RNA". It matches the Rfam family "Bacterial small subunit ribosomal RNA", at positions 28 to 507 of the family's 1533-position model. The record is from RNAcentral.
GAUGAACGCUGGCGGCGUGCCUAAUACAUGCAAGUCGAGCGAACGGACGAGAAGCUUGCUUCUCUGAUGUUAGCGGCGGACGGGUGAGUAACACGUGGAUAACCUACCUAUAAGGCUGGGAUAACUUCGGGAAACCGGAGCUAAUACCGGAUAAUAUUUUGAACCGCAUGGUUCAAAAGUGAAAGACGGUCUUGCUGUCACUUAUAGAUGGAUCCGCGCUGCAUUAGCUAGUUGGUAAGGUAACGGCUUACCAAGGCAACGAUGCAUAGCCGUCCUGAGAGGGUGAUCGGCCACACUGGAACUGAGACACGGUCCAGACUCCUACGGGAGGCAGCAGUAGGGAAUCUUCCGCAAUGGGCGAAAGCCUGACGGAGCAACGCCGCGUGAGUGAUGAAGGUCUUCGGAUCGUAAAACUCUGUUAUUAGGGAAGAACAUAUGUGUAAGUAACUGUGCACAUCUUGACGGUACCUAAUCAGAAAGCCACGGCUAACUACGUG